UUGGAGGGCAAGUCUGGUGCCAGCAGCCGCGGUAAUUCCAGCUCCAAUAGCGUAUAUUAAAGUUGUUGCAGUUAAAAAGCUCGUAGUUGAAUUUCGGGGUUAGUAGGUUGGUCAUGCCUCUGGUAUGUACUGGUCUCACUGAUUCCUCCUUCCUGAUGAACCGUAAUGCCAUUAAUUUGGUGUUGCGGGGAAUUUGGACUGUUACUUUGAAAAAAUUAGAGUGUUUAAAGCAAGCUAACGCUUGAAUACAUUAGCAUGGAAUAAUGAAAUAGGACGUUCGAUCCUAUUUUGUUGGUUUCUAGGAUUGACGUAAUGAUUAAUAGGGAUAGUUGGGGGCAUUAGUACUCAAUUGUCAGAGGUGAAAUUCUUGGAUUUAUUGAAGACUAACUACUGCGAAAGCAUUUGCCAAGGAUGUUUUCAUUAAUCAAGAACGAAAGUUAGGGGAUCGAAGACGAUCAGAUACCGUCGUAGUCUUAACCAUAAACUAUGCCGACUAGGGAUCGGAUGAUGUUAAUUUUUUAAUGACUCAUUCGGCGCCUUACGGGAAAC
This 549-nucleotide ribosomal RNA is filed under the name uncultured Glomus. RNAcentral's name for it is "SSU rRNA". It matches the Rfam family "Eukaryotic small subunit ribosomal RNA", at positions 548 to 1098 of the family's 1831-position model. Lineage: Eukaryota; Fungi; Glomeromycota; Glomeromycetes; Glomerales; Glomeraceae. The record is from RNAcentral.